This 264-nucleotide long non-coding RNA is filed under the name Olea europaea (common olive). RNAcentral's name for it is "long non-coding RNA (OEUR_LNC009620)". The record is from RNAcentral. Lineage: Eukaryota; Viridiplantae; Streptophyta; Magnoliopsida; Lamiales; Oleaceae.
UGCCCCCUAGGGCACAUCCAAGUUGGCGGAACAAUCACAUUGGGGGGCUCUGGAACCAAGUGUGGGGGAGUUCGAUUCCUGGUUGGAGCAGCCAAGUGAUGUAAUAACCAGAGAAAGGGUUGGAGCAGCUUGGUGAUGUAAUAACCAUGGAGGAGGGUCCCUUUGGGGAAGGAGUAAAAGUCAUGUGGGAACCUGAGAACCAACAAGGGUACAACCUGCGAUUUACCUCCACUAGUCACUGAGGGGCCGGGGGCUAGAGGUCCA